GGAGAUGAAGCUUUUACCAACUCAUAAGGGUCUUUUACAGGGAAAAACUCCAAUAUUUGGCAUGGUUAUAGGGCUAGUAGUGAACGAUGCUACUGUCAUGGUUGGAGAUCCUAAACGUGUAAUAAAAGACAGGAAUAUCGUUGUAGGAGUGACGGGGA
Molecule: long non-coding RNA, 158 nt
Organism: Papaver somniferum (opium poppy)
Lineage: Eukaryota; Viridiplantae; Streptophyta; Magnoliopsida; Ranunculales; Papaveraceae
Exons: 3
Source: RefSeq, a predicted model, not a curated record